This 611-nucleotide ribosomal RNA is filed under the name uncultured bacterium. RNAcentral describes it as "bacterial SSU rRNA". The stretch from base 1 to 520 matches the Rfam family "Bacterial small subunit ribosomal RNA", at positions 338 to 873 of the family's 1533-position model. The record is from RNAcentral.
CCUACGGGAGGCAGCAGUGGGGAAUCUUGCGCAAUGGGCGAAAGCCUGACGCAGCCAUGCCGCGUGAAUGAUGAAGGUCUUAGGAUUGUAAAAUUCUUUCACCGGGGGACGAUAAUGACGGUACCCGGAGAAGAAGCCCCGGCUAACUUCGUGCCAGCAGCCGCGGUAAUACGAAGGGGGCUAGCGUUGCUCGGAAUUACUGGGCGUAAAGGGAGCGUAGGCGGAUAGUUUAGUCAGAGGUGAAAGCCCAGGGCUCAACCUUGGAAUUGCCUUUGAUACUGGCUAUCUUGAGUGUGGGAGAGGUUAGCGGAACUCCGAGUGUAGAGGUGAAAUUCGUAGAUAUUCGGAAGAACACCAGUGGCGAAGGCGGCUAACUGGCCCAUUACUGACGCUGAGGCUCGAAAGCGUGGGGAGCAAACAGGAUUAGAUACCCUGGUAGUCCACGCCGUAAACGAUGAGUGCUAGUUGUCGGCAUGCAUGCAUGUCGGUGACGCAGCUAACGACAUUAAGACACUCCGCCGUCGGGGAGGUACGGUCGCGAAGAAUUAAACUACGAAAGGAAAGUUAGACGGCGUGAGACGUGCCGAACGGACGACGACGAGGGAGGUAGG